Molecule: ribosomal RNA, 254 nt
Filed under: uncultured bacterium
Lineage: Bacteria
Description: partial 16S ribosomal RNA
Rfam family: Bacterial small subunit ribosomal RNA
Source: RNAcentral
UACGUAGGGUGCGAGCGUUGUCCGGAAUUAUUGGGCGUAAAGGGCUCGUAGGCGGUUUGUCGCGUCGGGAGUGAAAUCCACUGGCUUAACUGGUGGCUUGCUUUCGAUACGGGCAGACUGGAGGUAUGCAGGGGAGAACGGAAUUCCUGGUGUAGCGGUGAAAUGCGCAGAUAUCAGGAGGAACACCGGUGGCGAAGGCGGUUCUCUGGGCAUGUCCUGACGCUGAGGAGCGAAAGUGUGGGGAGCGAACAGGA